GACAGAGGGUGCAAACGUUGUUCGGAAUCACUGGGCGUAAAGGGUGCGUAGGCGGGUCUUUAAGUCAGGGGUGAAAUCCUGGAGCUCAACUCCAGAACUGCCUUUGAUACUGAAGAUCUUGAGUUCGGGAGAGGUGAGUGGAACUGCGAGUGUAGAGGUGAAAUUCGUAGAUAUUCGCAAGAACACCAGUGGCGAAGGCGGCUCACUGGCCCGAUACUGACGCUGAGGCACGAAAGCGUGGGGAGCAAACAGG
This 253-nucleotide ribosomal RNA is filed under the name uncultured bacterium. Its description in RNAcentral is "partial 16S ribosomal RNA". It matches the Rfam family "Bacterial small subunit ribosomal RNA", at positions 524 to 776 of the family's 1533-position model. The record is from RNAcentral.